Molecule: non-coding RNA, 73 nt
Organism: Loxodonta africana (African savanna elephant)
Lineage: Eukaryota; Metazoa; Chordata; Mammalia; Proboscidea; Elephantidae
Source: Rfam
GCCCUGGUGGCGUAGUGGUUAAGUGCUAUGGCUGCUAACCAUAAGGGUCGGCAGUUCAAAUCUGCCAGGUGCU